This 420-nucleotide ribosomal RNA is filed under the name uncultured bacterium. Its description in RNAcentral is "bacterial SSU rRNA". It matches the Rfam family "Bacterial small subunit ribosomal RNA", at positions 361 to 773 of the family's 1533-position model. The record is from RNAcentral.
AUUUUGGACAAUGGGGGCAACCCUGAUCCAGCAAUGCCGCGUGUGUGAAGAAGGCCUUCGGGUUGUAAAGCACUUUUGUCCGGAAAGAAAUCGCACUUACUAAUAUUAGGUGUGGAUGACGGUACCGGAAGAAUAAGGACCGGCUAACUACGUGCCAGCAGCCGCGGUAAUACGUAGGGUCCAAGCGUUAAUCGGAAUUACUGGGCGUAAAGCGUGCGCAGGCGGUUGUGCAAGACCGAUGUGAAAUCCCCGGGCUUAACCUGGGAAUUGCAUUGGUGACUGCACGGCUAGAGUGUGUCAGAGGGGGGUAGAAUUCCACGUGUAGCAGUGAAAUGCGUAGAGAUGUGGAGGAAUACCGAUGGCGAAGGCAGCCCCCUGGGAUAACACUGACGCUCAUGCACGAAAGCGUGGGGAGCAAAC